Molecule: non-coding RNA, 267 nt
Filed under: Bacillota bacterium
Lineage: Bacteria; Bacillati; Bacillota
Description: Firmicutes bacterium T-box sequence
Rfam family: T-box leader
About the family: Uncharged tRNA acts as the effector for transcription antitermination of genes in the T-box leader family. T-boxes are found upstream of many aminoacyl-tRNA synthetase genes and some amino acid biosynthetic genes usually in Gram-positive bacteria.
Source: RNAcentral
UUUAAAGCGAAGAAUGUGUGUAAGUAGAUUUUUGAACUUGUUUUUCCAGAGAGCUUUUGUCACCGGCUGUAAGCAGAAGCAAAAACAUCAGAAAUCGAAUUUCAGCACGGGAGCUUCUGGCGAAAAGCUGUAAAGUUCAGCGUUAAGUCAGAUGUAAGGCUGCAUUAAAGCCAGAUGAGAGCAAAACCGUAUAAGAGAAAGAAUAGAAAUAAUAAAAAAACAGCGGUUUUGAAUUAGGGUGGUAACGCGAGAUACCUCGUCCCUUUU